UCAGUCGACUCCUACGGGGAGGCAGCAGUGGGGAAUAUGCACAAUGGGGGAAACCCUGAUGCAGCCAUGCCGCGUGUGUGAAGAAGGCCUUCGGGUUGUAAAGCACUUUCAGUAGGGAGGAAGGUAGUGUAGUUAACACCUGCAUUAUUUGACGUUACCUACAGAAGAAGCACCGGCUAACUCCGUGCCAGCAGCCGCGGUAAUACGGAGGGUGCGAGCGUUAAUCGGAAUUACUGGGCGUAAAGCGCAUGCAGGCGGCCUGUUAAGUCAGAUGUGAAAGCCCGGGGCUUAACCUCGGAAUUGCAUUUGAAACUGGCAGGCUAGAGUCUUGUAGAGGGGGGUAGGAAUUUCAGGUGUAGCGGUGAAAUGCGUAGAGAUCUGAAGGAAUACCAGUGGCGAAGGCGGCCCCCAUGGACAAAGACUGACGCUCAGAUGCGAAAGCGUGGGGAGCAAACAGGAUUAGAUACCCCUGGUAG
Molecule: ribosomal RNA, 476 nt
Filed under: uncultured bacterium
Lineage: Bacteria
Description: bacterial SSU rRNA
Rfam family: Bacterial small subunit ribosomal RNA
Source: RNAcentral